This is a long non-coding RNA of Lampris incognitus (smalleye Pacific opah), 1475 nucleotides long. RefSeq lists it as uncharacterized. The record is from RefSeq and is a predicted model, not a curated record. The transcript is spliced from 3 exons. NCBI's taxonomy places the organism in Eukaryota, Metazoa, Chordata, Actinopteri, Lampriformes, Lampridae.
AGGCAACUCUUGUGGAUGAUUGGCAGGGGGUGGGCCUCUGUGUUGAAGACCCAGUCCUCCAAUGGCAGAAGGUCAUCAUCAGAGAAGAGCAGUCCUAACACAUGUAGGUCAGCUGAAUUGGCUGUACUAUGAGUGUGUGUGUCGGCUGGUGUCUCCCUGCCUGUUGCCCAAUGAUUGCUGGGAUAGGCUCCAGCAUCUCCACGAAUCCAAGAGCAGGGCAGUUAAUCCAGCAGCUACCCAAACACCAAAGAGCAACCUGGUGGAUGCAGAUGAAAGAGCGGACUGGAGAAGGCUUUGGGGUAGCGGAUCAAACGUACUCAAAACGUAUCAGGGAACCUGUUACGGCAUGAGUCAUAUUUGCUUCCUAGAAAAACAAGCGUGAGGAAGGAAACCUUUGAUGAUGAGUCCCGCCUGCCCAAUGAUGGAGGGAGAACAAAUAGUUGUUUGAAACGAGCUGUGGACAUGAGUUUUUUCUUUGUGUGUGGGUCACAGAAUGAAGAAUGGGAAGAGAAAACCGAUCAUACACAGGUUUUCCGUAAAGUGUGGGUGUGGCCUGUCACUUUCAAUUUUUCUUGUUCUCCCUUUGUGUCUUCAAUUUGAAAUGCAGACCCUUUUUAAAACUCUUGACCUGCUUUCUAGGUUUGUGUAGCCACUGAGCCGUGUGUGGUCUCAACUUGUCCAUCCAUUAUCUGAACUGCUAAUGCUGUUGUCAGGGUUGUGGGGAGACAAUUUAGCAUGGCCAAUUCGCUUGACUUACAUGUCUUUAGAAUGGGGGAGGAAACCCAUGCAGACAUGGGGAGUACAUGCUAACUCCACACAGAGGAUGUACUGGGAUGACCCACCAAGCAUGGACUAUCUCGGGGCUGAAACCCAGGACUUUCUUGCUGUGAGGUGACCAUGCUAGCCAAUGUGUCACUGUCUUAACUUGUAUUCUCACAAUAUUUAUCUUCCCUCUUUCUCUUUGCUCUACACUGUUCCUCAAAUUUUAACUGAUAUUGGAAUUACAACAGGUUGCUGGUAUUGAUAUCAAACAAAUGAUGAGCAGCGCCACAAGUCAUCCUGUGUGCACCAUUACUUAUGCUUGCAGUUGGAGUUGUUAGGGAAUAUUGAGGAAAGAUGUCAGAUUUUGCUGCUCCCUGUUAGGUCUGCCUUUUGAGGCCUAGCCAACAGGAACGAUGCUCUACUUCAUUCAGGGCAAAAUUCAAAUGCCUGAGACCCUUUUAAUUUGCAAUAUCGCUCUCCUAGACUCAAUUUUCUCACUUUCUACUCCACCAAAUUCACCGUUAAGUAGACGAACAUAGUGCGGCAGAAUGGUGAUGAAUCAUGAAAUUUCACAGGAUUUAUUAAUGGCCAGCCUGCAAUAAGUUGAAAAAUGUAAUAUUAUUUUGAUUUGAAUAUUGGGAAAUAGGAACACUGUGUGGGAAUGAAUUAUGGAUGCUUUUUGGGCGAUAUAGACUUUUUAAGUGUGAGGAGAU